Molecule: unclassified non-coding RNA, 165 nt
Filed under: soil metagenome
Description: partial internal transcribed spacer 1
Source: RNAcentral
CAAGAAUCGAGGCUGACGGUGCCUACUCCCUAGGCUCCGUCCAGUCCCGCUCUCUACCCUUGCCUACUGCACCGUUUGUUGCUUCCUGGCGGCGUCCCCGUCGCCAGGGGCCUUUUGAAAAGCCAAGUAUAAGCAUUGAAAACUUCUGACAUACACUAAAUCGUA